GCGACCCCAGGAUGGGCGAGUCCACCCGCUGAGUUUAAG
RNAcentral lists this ribosomal RNA (39 nucleotides) under Trichocentrum pulchrum. RNAcentral describes it as "partial 26S ribosomal RNA". The record is from RNAcentral. Lineage: Eukaryota; Viridiplantae; Streptophyta; Magnoliopsida; Asparagales; Orchidaceae.